This 433-nucleotide ribosomal RNA is filed under the name uncultured bacterium. Its description in RNAcentral is "partial 16S ribosomal RNA". It matches the Rfam family "Bacterial small subunit ribosomal RNA", at positions 29 to 507 of the family's 1533-position model. The record is from RNAcentral.
AGCGAACGCUGGCGGCAGGCUUAACACAUGCAAGUCGAGCGGGCACUUCGGUGUCAGCGGCAGACGAGUGAGUAACACGUGGGAACGUACCCUUCGGUUCGGAAUAACGCUGGGAAACUAGCGCUAAUACCGGAUACGCCCUUUUGGGGAAAGGUUUACUGCCGAAGGAUCGGCCCGCGUCUGAUUAGCUAGUUGGUGGGGUAAUGGCCUACCAAGGCGACGAUCAGUAGCUGGUCUGAGAGGAUGAUCAGCCACACUGGGACUGAGACACGGCCCAGACUCCUACGGGAGGCAGCAGUGGGGAAUAUUGGACAAUGGGCGCAAGCCUGAUCCAGCCAUGCCGCGUGAGUGAUGAAGGCCUUAGGGUUGUAAAGCUCUUUUGUCCGGGACGAUAAUGACGGUACCGGAAGAAUAAGCCCCGGCUAACUUCGUG